RNAcentral lists this ribosomal RNA (379 nucleotides) under uncultured bacterium. Its description in RNAcentral is "bacterial SSU rRNA". It matches the Rfam family "Bacterial small subunit ribosomal RNA", at positions 523 to 898 of the family's 1533-position model. The record is from RNAcentral.
AGACAGAGGGGGCAAGCGUUGUCCGGAGUUACUGGGCGUAAAGGGCGCGGAGGCGGUGGCCUGCGUCGGCGCUGAAAGCGCUCCGCUUAACGGGGCGAGGCGCGCCGAUACGAGGUCACUCGAGGCAAGCAGAGGGCAGUGGAAUUCCGGGUGGAGCGGUGAAAUGCGUAGAGAUCCGGAGGAACGCCAGUGGAGCAGUCGGCUGCCUGGGCUUGACCUGACGCUGCGGCGCGACAGCGUGGGGAGCAAACCGGAUUAGAUACCCGGGUAGUCCACGCCGUAAACGAUGCCGGCUCGGCGUUUGGCGCGCGUGAGCGCGCUGGGCGCCUAAGCUCACGCGGUAAGCCGGCCGCCUGGGGACUACGAGCGCAAGCUUAAA